RNAcentral lists this ribosomal RNA (490 nucleotides) under uncultured bacterium. Its description in RNAcentral is "partial 16S ribosomal RNA". It matches the Rfam family "Bacterial small subunit ribosomal RNA", at positions 29 to 523 of the family's 1533-position model. The record is from RNAcentral.
AAUGAACGUUGGCGGCAUGGAUUAGGCAUGCAAGUCGAGCGAGAAGAGUUUUGAAGCUUGCUUUAGAACUCGGACAGCGGCGAAAGGGAGAGUAACGCGUAGUUAUGUGCCCUAGGGUCCGGAAUAGCCACGGGAAACUGUGGGUAAUGCCGGAUAACAUCCCCGGAUCAAAGGUGUGAUUCCGCCCUAGGAGCAGACUGCGUCCUACUAGCUAGUUGGUGGGGUAAUGGCCCACCAAGGCAAUGAUGGGUAGCGGGUGUGAGAGCAUGACCCGUCUCGCUGGGACUGAGACACUGCCCAGACACCUACGGGUGGCUGCAGUCGAGGAUCUUCGGCAAUGGGCGAAAGCCUGACCGAGCGAUGCCGCGUGCGGGAUGAAGGCCCUCGGGUUGUAAACCGCUGUCGUAGGGGAGGAAGGUUCCGUGAAGAGCGGAAUUUGACCUAUCCUAGAAGGAAGUACGGGCUAAGUUCGUGCCAGCAGCCGCGGUAA